GAUGAACGCUAGCGGCAGGCUUAAUACAUGCAAGUCGAGGGGCAACAGGGGUAGCAAUACCUGCUGGCGACCGGCAAACGGGUGCGGAACACGUACAGAACCUUCCUUUAAGCGGGGGAUAGCCCAUAGAAAUGUGGAUUAAUACCCCAUAGUAAUAAUGACUGGCAUCAGUUGUUAUUUAAAGAUUUAUCACUUAAAGAUGGCUGUGCGGCUAAUUAGGUAGUUGGUCGGGGUAACGGCCCACCAAGCCAUCGAUCAGUAACUGGUGUGAGAGCACGACCAGUCACACGGGCACUGAGACACGGGCCCGACUCCUACGGGAGGCAGCAGUAAGGAAUAUUGGUCAAUGGACGCAAGUCUGAACCAGCCAUGCCGCGU
This 378-nucleotide ribosomal RNA is filed under the name uncultured bacterium. RNAcentral's name for it is "bacterial SSU rRNA". It matches the Rfam family "Bacterial small subunit ribosomal RNA", at positions 28 to 402 of the family's 1533-position model. The record is from RNAcentral.